RNAcentral lists this ribosomal RNA (245 nucleotides) under uncultured bacterium. RNAcentral's name for it is "partial 16S ribosomal RNA". It matches the Rfam family "Bacterial small subunit ribosomal RNA", at positions 15 to 248 of the family's 1533-position model. The record is from RNAcentral.
GAUCCUGGCUCAGGAUGAACGCUAGCUACAGGCUUAACACAUGCAAGUCGAGGGGCAGCAUUUCAGUUUGCUUGCAAACUGGAGAUGGCGACCGGCGCACGGGUGAGUAACACGUAUCCAACCUGCCGAUAACUCGGGGAUAGCCUUUCGAAAGAAAGAUUAAUACCCGAUGGUAUAAUCAGACCGCAUGGUCUUGUUAUUAAAGAAAUUUCGGUUAUCGAUGGGGAGUGCGUUCCAUUAGGCAG